This 75-nucleotide transfer RNA is filed under the name Sphaerodactylus townsendi. Its description in RNAcentral is "tRNA-Ala". The record is from RNAcentral. Lineage: Eukaryota; Metazoa; Chordata; Lepidosauria; Squamata; Sphaerodactylidae.
GGAGCAGCUGUGGCUCAGUGGUAGAGUACCUGCCUGGCGUGCAGAAGGACCCAAGUUCAAUUCCCAGGGUCUCCA